CGCCUCCUCUCCUCGCCGGCCCUCUCCGCGGCCUGCCUCCUCUUCGGCCUCGCCGGGUUCCUCGCCGCCGCGGUCUCCCUCUCCCGGGCGCCCGCCGAGGCCCCGCGGGGCCGCUGCCCGGACUCCUCGCACCCGCUCUCCGUCUCCGUCUCCUGGGACCGGCGCCCCGGGGAUGCCGCGGGCGGCGCCACCGACCUCCCGGUGGGCCUCGCCACCGGAUCGCGCGGCAGGCACAAGGUCAUGGCCUUCGUCGGGAUCUUCACCGGGUUCGGCUCCGUCGGCCGCCGCCGCGCGCUCAGGCGGACGUGGCUCCCCUCCGAUCGGCAGGGUCUCCUUCGGUUAGUUGUCGCUGGUACCACAGCUUCCUGGUUCAUGUUCGCUUGUGUUGCUCGAGAUCUAGCUUUAGUCCUGAACUGUUGA
Molecule: ribosomal RNA, 420 nt
Filed under: Triticum aestivum (bread wheat)
Lineage: Eukaryota; Viridiplantae; Streptophyta; Magnoliopsida; Poales; Poaceae
Description: partial small subunit ribosomal RNA
Source: RNAcentral